Molecule: RNA transcript, 526 nt
Organism: Scaptodrosophila lebanonensis
Lineage: Eukaryota; Metazoa; Arthropoda; Insecta; Diptera; Drosophilidae
Gene name: 40S ribosomal protein S27
Exons: 4
Source: RefSeq, a predicted model, not a curated record
CGAUUUAUCUUACUUCCUUUCCCGUGUUAGCUGUGAAAGAAAAAACAUGCCGCUAGCAAAAGAUUUAUUGCACCCUCUGCCCGCUGAGGAGAAGCGUAAGCACAAGCUAAAGCGCCUGGUCCAGCACCCCAACUCCUACUUCAUGGACGUCAAGUGCCCUGGAUGCUACAGAAUUACAACUGUGUUCAGUCACGCACAAGGCGUUGUGGUCUGCGCAGGUUGCGCCACCAUUCUAUGCCAGCCUACUGGAGGACGUGCUAAGCUGACAGAAGGCUGCUCGUUCCGUAGGAAGCCACAGUAAAUGGAUUGCUUCAAAUUGAACCACAAUAUAAUCAUUUUUUAAUAAAAACUCUAAGAAAAAACCAGCAAAUACAACAAAUGUCCAACGAGAGCAGGAUUAGUGGCAGCAGAAGCAGCAUCUGUGUUAUCUAAGUAAAGGUAGUUUUAUAACAACAAUUGUGUUUGAGACACAUCUUGACUACCUAAAUUCAACCCAACACUGGCUAUAAAAUAGAUAAACAUGUAA